RNAcentral lists this ribosomal RNA (253 nucleotides) under uncultured bacterium. RNAcentral's name for it is "partial 16S ribosomal RNA". It matches the Rfam family "Bacterial small subunit ribosomal RNA", at positions 524 to 776 of the family's 1533-position model. The record is from RNAcentral.
UACGUAGGGGGCAAGCGUUGUCCGGAAUCAUUGGGCGUAAAGCGCGUGUAGGCGGCUGAGUAAGUCUGCUCUGAAAGCCCGGGGCUCAACCCCGGGAGGCGGGUGGAUACUGCUCAGCUCGAGUCCGGAAGAGGAGUGUGGAAUUCCUGGUGUAGCGGUGAAAUGCGCAGAUAUCAGGAGGAACACCAAUGGCGAAGGCAGCACUCUGGGACGGUACUGACGCUGAGACGCGAAAGCUAGGGGAGCAAACAGG